Molecule: long non-coding RNA, 947 nt
Organism: Labrus mixtus (cuckoo wrasse)
Lineage: Eukaryota; Metazoa; Chordata; Actinopteri; Labriformes; Labridae
Exons: 4
Source: RefSeq, a predicted model, not a curated record
AGCUCAUAUUAUGCCCUUUUUGGGGUUCGUAUAUUUAAUCUAUGUACCUACUAGAGUAUGUUCACAAUAGCUAAAGUUCGAAAAAAAGUGUAUGUUUUCAUGUACUGCCGCUCCAUGCACCGGCUCGCUUCUGACUUUCUCUCUAAGGCUCUGAAGUGCCCACGUUCAGAGUCCCCACGUGUGCCAAGUCUGAUCUGAUUGGUCGGCCUGUCGGCUCUGUCUGAUUGGUCAGUCGCUCAGCACGGUUCUCAGAAAUGUCUCACCCUUUUUGCCAUAUUGGGAAUGCAGCCACUUUGCCUCCGAGGGGAGCCAAAAAAACGGUAUGCAAACGGCAAUGGCAACUUCAGCAAUCUGACAGAGAGGAGGAACAAACACAACAACCUUUGCCACGAAGGUAUGAGCACAACGUUUCAGUGUUGUGGGAGAAUGAAUCUGCUGCCUGUUCCUUGUACCAAAAACAUCCAGGACUGUUUAAACCCAUAUACACUUCAAAACAUCCACAACAUCUUCAGAGGAGAACAUCACAGAGAACUGCAGAAGAGCUGUGCAGACACUUGGCAGCUCAUCGCUUUGUGAGGCGGUGCUGGAGAUACUUUGGACACUGCAGAGUGGUUGUCCUGUCGUGUGUCGUCCUGAGGAUUCGCCCCGAGUUUCCUGACCCAACUGGACAGUAUGUUGGCUUCGGCCUGCCCCUUGACUACACCUGGACACGUGUCGAGCCAUCCCUCCUUCUAUUUAAAAGUCAGGCAUUUUCUGCAGCUCCUCCAUGAAUGGUUCUGGUUCCUGAAACACCUCCUCCAACACCAGUGCCAUCAAGUGUGUGUGCGUACCUUUGCUUGUCCCUUAGUAUACCCCAGGCCAACUGUGUGUGGACUGAUGACCCCUUUGGAGGUAGGUAUGUCUGUGUGGCCUCUGAGACUUGUGGGGAGUCUGUCUGCCACCCAACC